RNAcentral lists this ribosomal RNA (1349 nucleotides) under Psychrobacter sp. RNAcentral describes it as "bacterial SSU rRNA". It matches the Rfam family "Bacterial small subunit ribosomal RNA", at positions 73 to 1418 of the family's 1533-position model. The record is from RNAcentral. Lineage: Bacteria; Pseudomonadati; Pseudomonadota; Gammaproteobacteria; Moraxellales; Moraxellaceae.
UUCUAGCUUGCUAGAAGAUGACGAGCGGCGGACGGGUGAGUAAUACUUAGGAAUCUACCUAGUAGUGGGGGAUAGCACGGGGAAACUCGUAUUAAUACCGCAUACGACCUACGGGAGAAAGGGGGCAGUUUACUGCUCUCGCUAUUAGAUGAGCCUAAGUCGGAUUAGCUAGAUGGUGGGGUAAAGGCCUACCAUGGCGACGAUCUGUAGCUGGUCUGAGAGGAUGAUCAGCCACACCGGGACUGAGACACGGCCCGGACUCCUACGGGAGGCAGCAGUGGGGAAUAUUGGACAAUGGGGGAAACCCUGAUCCAGCCAUGCCGCGUGUGUGAAGAAGGCCUUUUGGUUGUAAAGCACUUUAAGCAGUGAAGAAGACUCUGUGGUUAAUACCCACAGACGAUGACAUUAGCUGCAGAAUAAGCACCGGCUAACUCUGUGCCAGCAGCCGCGGUAAUACAGAGGGUGCAAGCGUUAAUCGGAAUUACUGGGCGUAAAGGGAGCGUAGGUGGCUCGAUAAGUCAGAUGUGAAAUCCCCGGGCUCAACCUGGGAACUGCAUCUGAUACUGUCGUGCUAGAGUAUGUGAGAGGAAGGUAGAAUUCCAGGUGUAGCGGUGAAAUGCGUAGAGAUCUGGAGGAAUACCGAUGGCGAAGGCAGCCUUCUGGCAUAAUACUGACACUGAGGCUCGAAAGCGUGGGUAGCAAACAGGAUUAGAUACCCUGGUAGUCCACGCCGUAAACGAUGUCUACUAGUCGUUGGGUCCCUUGAGGACUUAGUGACGCAGCUAACGCAAUAAGUAGACCGCCUGGGGAGUACGGCCGCAAGGUUAAAACUCAAAUGAAUUGACGGGGGCCCGCACAAGCGGUGGAGCAUGUGGUUUAAUUCGAUGCAACGCGAAGAACCUUACCUGGUCUUGACAUAUCUAGAAUCCUGCAGAGAUGCGGGAGUGCCUUCGGGAAUUAGAAUACAGGUGCUGCAUGGCUGUCGUCAGCUCGUGUCGUGAGAUGUUGGGUUAAGUCCCGCAACGAGCGCAACCCUUGUCCUUAGUUACCAGCGGGUUAAGCCGGGAACUCUAAGGAUACUGCCAGUGACAAACUGGAGGAAGGCGGGGACGACGUCAAGUCAUCAUGGCCCUUACGACCAGGGCUACACACGUGCUACAAUGGUAGGUACAGAGGGCAGCUACACAGCGAUGUGAUGCGAAUCUCAAAAAGCCUAUCGUAGUCCAGAUUGGAGUCUGCAACUCGACUCCAUGAAGUAGGAAUCGCUAGUAAUCGCGGAUCAGAAUGCCGCGGUGAAUACGUUCCCGGGCCUUGUACACACCGCCCGUCACACCAUGGGAGUUGAUUGC